Molecule: ribosomal RNA, 475 nt
Filed under: uncultured bacterium
Lineage: Bacteria
Description: bacterial SSU rRNA
Rfam family: Bacterial small subunit ribosomal RNA
Source: RNAcentral
GGCUCAGGAUGAACGCUAGCGGCAGGCCUAAUACAUGCAAGUCGAACGGUGUCUUCGGACAUAGUGGCGCACGGGUGCGUAACACGUAUGCAACCUACCUUACAUUGGGGGAUAGCCUUUCGAAAGGGAGAUUAAUACCGCAUAAGACAGUAGCUGGGCAUCCAGCAGCUGUUAAAGAUUUAUCGAUGUAAGAUGGGCAUGCGUCCAAUUAGUUAGUUGGCGAGGUAACGGCUCACCAAGACUUUGAUUGGUAGGGGAACUGAGAGGUCAAUCCCCCACACUGGCACUGAGAUACGGGCCAGACUCCUACGGGAGGCAGCAGUAGGGAAUAUUGGGCAAUGGACGCAAGUCUGACCCAGCCAUGCCGCGUGCAGGAUGAAGGCGUUAUGCGUUGUAAACUGCUUUAUACAGGAAGAAACGACUCUUGCGAGAGGCAUUGACGGUACUGUAUGAAUAAGCACCGGCUAACUCCGUG